Molecule: ribosomal RNA, 460 nt
Filed under: uncultured bacterium
Lineage: Bacteria
Description: partial 16S ribosomal RNA
Rfam family: Bacterial small subunit ribosomal RNA
Source: RNAcentral
CCUACGGUGGGCAGCAGUGCGGAAUAUUGGUCAAUGGGCGGGAGCCUGAACCAGCCAAGUCGCGUGAGGGAAGACGGUCCUAUGGAUUGUAAACCUCUUUAGGCGGGGAGCAAUGCCGGGCACGCGUGCCCGGAGGGAGAGUACCCGCAGAAUACGCAUCGGCUAACUCCGUGCCAGCCGCCGCGGUCAUACGGAGGAUGCGAGCGUUCUCCGGAUUUAUUGGGGUUAAGGGGUUCGUAGGCGGAUUUUUAAGUCAGCGGUAAAAUGUCCGGGCUCAACCCGGGCCGGCCGUUGAAACUGGGGAUAGUGAUUGGGCGAGAAGUAUGCGGAAUGCGUGGUGUAGCGGUGAAAUGCAUAGAUAUCACGCAGAACUCCGAUUGCGAAGGCAGCAGACCGGCGCCCGACUGACGCUGAGGCACGAAAGCGUGGGGAUCGAACAGGAUUAGAUACCCCAGUAGUC